Molecule: ribosomal RNA, 532 nt
Filed under: Manocoreus yunnanensis
Lineage: Eukaryota; Metazoa; Arthropoda; Insecta; Hemiptera; Coreidae
Description: partial large subunit ribosomal RNA
Rfam family: Eukaryotic large subunit ribosomal RNA
Source: RNAcentral
CCCGAAAUGACCCGGAGAAGCCGUAGGGAGGUCCGGGGAGAGUUGUCUCUUCUCUAUAAGCGUUCGAGUUCCCUGGAAGCCUCUAGGAGGGAGAUAGGGUUUGGAACGCGAAGAGCACCGCACUUACGGCGGUGUCCGGAUCUUCCCCUCGGACCUUGAAAAUCCGGGCGAGGGCCACGAGGAACACCGCGCCGGCUCGUACCCAUAUCCGCAGCAGGUCUCCAAGGUGAAUAGCCUCUAGUCGAUAGAAUAAUGUAGGUAAGGGAAGUCGGCAAACCCGAUCUGUAACUUCGGGAUAAGGAUUGGCUCUGAGGAUCGUGGCGCGCCGGGCUUGGUCGGGAAGUGGAGCGGUGCCAACGUGCCGGGCCUGGGCGAGGUGAAGGGCGCUCGUCGUCCGGACCCUAGCUCGGUCCCGUGCCUUGGCCACCCACGGACCUUCCUUGCUGCGAGCCUCCCGGCUGUCUAGUUACCGGCUCAGCCGGUGGACGGGCCGGAAGGCUCUUCGGCCGCCAUAGAGCGAUCAACUUAGAAC